RNAcentral lists this ribosomal RNA (468 nucleotides) under uncultured bacterium. RNAcentral's name for it is "partial 16S ribosomal RNA". It matches the Rfam family "Bacterial small subunit ribosomal RNA", at positions 28 to 507 of the family's 1533-position model. The record is from RNAcentral.
GACGAACGCUGGCGGCGUGCUUAACACAUGCAAGUCGAACGGAAAGGCCCUGCUUUUGUGGGGUGCUCGAGUGGCGAACGGGUGAGUAACACGUGAGUAACCUGCCCUUGACUUUGGGAUAACUUCAGGAAACUGGGGCUAAUACCGGAUAGGAGCUCCUGCUGCAUGGUGGGGGUUGGAAAGUUUCGGCGGUUGGGGAUGGACUCGCGGCUUAUCAGCUUGUUGGUGGGGUAGUGGCUUACCAAGGCUUUGACGGGUAGCCGGCCUGAGAGGGUGACCGGCCACAUUGGGACUGAGAUACGGCCCAGACUCCUACGGGAGGCAGCGGUGGGGAAUAUUGCACGAUGGGCGGAAGCCUGAUGCAGCAACGCCGCGUGCGGGAUGACGGCCUUCGGGUUGUAAACCGCUUUCGCCUGUGACGAAGCGUGAGUGACGGUAAUGGGUAAAGAAGCACCGGCUAACUACGUG